AAGUCGUAACAAGGUUUCCGUAGGUGAACCUGCGGAAGGAUCAUUACAAAUAAAGCUGGUAGGAAGUGGGGUCUUGAUCUGUAAGUGGUAGAGCACAGGUACCGGCUGCCUGCCCGAAAUGCUCCUUAACAUUGUCCCCGACCCAGCCAUGAACGGCCAGGCAAUUAAUCAACCCAUUGCAUUAUUCUACACUUGUUGCUUUGGGGUGCUCAAGUGCCCCAGAGGACCCAACUCUCUUGCAUUUAGUGACGUCUGAGUACUAUAUAAUAUUUAAAA
This 276-nucleotide unclassified non-coding RNA is filed under the name plant metagenome. RNAcentral's name for it is "partial contains small subunit ribosomal RNA and internal transcribed spacer 1". The stretch from base 1 to 46 matches the Rfam family "Eukaryotic small subunit ribosomal RNA", at positions 1786 to 1831 of the family's 1831-position model. The record is from RNAcentral.